GUUUGAUCCUGGCUCAGAAUCAACGCUGGCGGCGUGCCUAACACAUGCAAGUCGAACGAGAAAGUGGAGCAAUCCAUGAGUAAAGUGGCGACCGGGUGAGUAACACGUGACUAACCUACCUUCAAGUGGGGGAUAACCUCGGGAAACCGGGGCUAAUACCGCAUAAAAUCUUUGGGAUGGAAAUCCUGUUGAUCAAAGGAGCAAUUCGCUGGAAGAGGGGGUCGCGGCUGAUUAGCUAGUUGGCGGGGUAAUGGCCCACCAAGGCUUUGAUCGGUAGCCGGCCUGAGAGGGCGCACGGCCACACUGGAACUGAAACACGGUCCAGACUCCUACGGGAGGCAGCAGUGGGGAAUUUUGCGCAAUGGGGGAAACCCUGACGCAGCAACGCCGCGUGGAGGAUGAAGUCCCUUGGGACGUAAA
This 420-nucleotide ribosomal RNA is filed under the name uncultured bacterium. Its description in RNAcentral is "bacterial SSU rRNA". It matches the Rfam family "Bacterial small subunit ribosomal RNA", at positions 11 to 429 of the family's 1533-position model. The record is from RNAcentral.